GAAAAUAUGACUUAGAUGCGACGGAGCGAAGCGAUCGGAGCCUCUAAGUCUGGUUCCAUGCGACUGCCGUACAACCGUAUUCGAGUGGCGAAUACAUCACGCUUCAGCUCCUUCGUUGCAGGCAUUCUGCCUUUCACUCAGUAGAGCUUCAGCUUGCAGUUAACUAUUCUGCAGUGUAAGGGCCAUGGCAGCCGGUCUCCCCGCUUCCCGUCUCCACCAUUCCAAGCAUGGUUAGCAAGUACGUCAGAAUCUGAGCCACGAGAAGACGGUUAAGGGAGACAGGAGCACAGAACAGUUUUCCUGCUGAACAACAGUCUCAUCUGAGCUGGUUCGCUGGGUGAUGUCGCUCUUAUCAGAAAGGGGCUCUCCUGUUUCCAGACUUCCCCGGAGUUCCCACCUACAUGCUCUCGCAUCAUACCCCCCAUGGGGCCCCCUAUUCCUCCGACGAUUCUUCUGAAUCCCACUGGAACCCGCUGCAUUACCUGAUUAAGCCAUGCCACAGCAGUUUCCUGCCUGCCCCUACCUCCUAGCUCGGCUUUGUGAAACAGACAUAUCCAUGUACAUACCCCUUGUGAUGCACUGUGUCCUGAGUCCACGAUGUACAUCAUGAUGCAACUAUUCUAUUUGUUAUGCGCAUGCGCUACAU
This 646-nucleotide long non-coding RNA is filed under the name Volvox carteri. RNAcentral's name for it is "long non-coding RNA (VCAR_LNC002616)". Lineage: Eukaryota; Viridiplantae; Chlorophyta; Chlorophyceae; Chlamydomonadales; Volvocaceae. The record is from RNAcentral.